Long non-coding RNA from Ornithodoros turicata, 431 nucleotides. RefSeq lists it as uncharacterized. The transcript has 2 exons. The record is from RefSeq and is a predicted model, not a curated record. NCBI's taxonomy places the organism in Eukaryota, Metazoa, Arthropoda, Arachnida, Ixodida, Argasidae.
CAACAAGUGAAGUUUAUGUUGCUUGCUUGGGGAUCUUCCGGGUUCAGAGACCGAGGUGGGGGGUUCUUUUGUUGUUAGCGGACGACGUUCUCUAAGAAAGCGAGUUGAAGCUUGCGAACGAAGAAACACUUGCAAGAAGAUGGCGCACUUUCUCCGUCUUGACUCUCCCCCACCCACAGAAAGAGCUUUCUAUUUUGUUUUUCUCUCUGAGGGGAAGAGGGGAGAAUGGGUCUGGCGCGUGCCAGACAGCGCAGCUGCUCUGCUUUUACUUCCACGAUCUUAAAUUGUAUGCUGGCUGAGGCGUCGGUCGAGGACACCGACGGGGGCAAGCAAGUCGGCUUCUGGGGCCAGGCUAACCUUUCCCCUCUUUCUUUGUUUUGUUUUUUCAAUAAACCUAUAUCCCCCCCGACGGGGGCAUAUGCGUCCCUGAA